GAUCCUGGCUCAGGAUGAACGCUGGCGGCGUGCCUAAUACAUGCAAGUAGAACGCUGAAGCUUGGUGCUUGCACCGAGCGGAUGAGUUGCGAACGGGUGAGUAACGCGUAGGUAACCUACCUCUUAGCGGGGGAUAACUAUUGGAAACGAUAGCUAAUACCGCAUAAAAGUCGGCAUUGCAUGAGGUGUUGACUUGAAAGGUGCAACUGCAUCACUAAGAGAUGG
This 225-nucleotide ribosomal RNA is filed under the name uncultured bacterium. RNAcentral's name for it is "partial 16S ribosomal RNA". It matches the Rfam family "Bacterial small subunit ribosomal RNA", at positions 15 to 228 of the family's 1533-position model. The record is from RNAcentral.